GACAGAGGGUGCAAACGUUGUUCGGAAUUACUGGGCAUAAAGGGCACGUAGGUGGUUCGCUAAGUUACGUGUGAAAUCCCCCGGCUCAACCGGGGAAUUGCGCGUGAUACUGGCGGACUCGAGGCGGGUAGGGGUGAGCGGAACUCCAGGUGGAGCGGUGAAAUGCGUAGAUAUCUGGAGGAACACCGGUGGCGAAGGCGGCAUCCUGGACCGACACUGACGCUGAGGCGCGAAAGCUAGGGUAGCAAACGGG
Molecule: ribosomal RNA, 253 nt
Filed under: uncultured bacterium
Lineage: Bacteria
Description: partial 16S ribosomal RNA
Rfam family: Bacterial small subunit ribosomal RNA
Source: RNAcentral